GACCAAAAGUAUGAAGCAGCCAUUAACAGGGAUUCGUUCCUCUCCAUAUCGGCAAUAGAUAACCUAAUACACUGGUCCAAUUUCCAUUCACCCCAUUGGACUUCGUUUGAGUUGCCGAUUCUAAGAAACCAAUCUUUCCAUCCCUUGGUAGGGCUGGGCCAGGAACGGAAAGUGUCUUUCCACAGAUCUAGGGAGAAGUUCUCGGCUCUAAAUGGGAUUCUAUUUGUUUCUGCAUUUAUCAGGUCGGUGGGAUCUGGAUUUCCCAACGGGCCGAGACACUGAAAGUGGGGUUGAUCGGUAGGGAUCACGAUCUUAUUAGCCAACUCCUAAGAAGUUUGAAGGUUGAAGGAACAGAAAAAGAACAAAAAGAAAAAGAAAAGGUACUCAGUAAAAAGAAUCGCAGAUGAACAGGAGUACAGUAAAAGCAUAAAGAGAAGGGGGAUGAUAGACUGACCUGAGGAACGACGAAGUUGAUUGCUAUUUCUUCGCGAGGAAGAAGAUCGAAGAUUUAGGGAAUUGGUGAAGGAGGCUCUUGCUGAAGUUCUUGGAGUUCUCAGGCAAUGCCGCCGCCAGGAAAGUGGAUUUUGGGCUGUAGAAUGACAAGAUGG
Molecule: long non-coding RNA, 608 nt
Filed under: Sorghum bicolor (sorghum)
Lineage: Eukaryota; Viridiplantae; Streptophyta; Magnoliopsida; Poales; Poaceae
Description: long non-coding RNA (SBIC_LNC011018)
Source: RNAcentral